Molecule: ribosomal RNA, 669 nt
Filed under: Triticum aestivum (bread wheat)
Lineage: Eukaryota; Viridiplantae; Streptophyta; Magnoliopsida; Poales; Poaceae
Description: partial small subunit ribosomal RNA
Source: RNAcentral
AUGAAACAUCUUAGCUGGAACUGCUGGGGGCUUGGGAACCCCGAGGCAGUUCGCGAGCUUCGCAAAAUUGUGAAGCAAGAAGGGCCCGACUUACUCUUUGUGAUGGAGACGAAGAUUAGGGCGAAGAUAGUUGAAAUUCUUAAGCAUACACUCGGGUUUUCGGGUUGUUUUGCUGUUGAUAGUGUGGUGCUUAGUGGCGGCCUCGGUUUGUUUUGGUCGAGUGAUAUUUCUGUUGAUCUUAAGAGUUAUAGUUCCGGCCAUAUCGAUGUGGUGGCUCGGAAAGGUGGUCCCCCCUCGCACGAAUGGAGAUUCACGGGGUUCUACGGAGCACCGAGGAGUGAGGAUCGACACCAUAGUUGGAACUGCUUGAGACGGUUGCAUGCAAUACCGCAUCAAGCAUGGCUAUGUCUUGGUGAUUUCAACGAAACGCAGUAUGCCACAGAACACUUUAGUAGAGCUCAGAGGGCGGAGUCGCAGAUGUGUGCAUUUCAGGAUGUUCUGGAUGAUUGCUGCCUACAGGAUCUUGGGUUCUCAGGGGUGCCAUAUACAUGGGAUAAUGGUCAGGCCGGCGAGAUGAACGUGAAAGCCCGUCUGGAUAGAGGGGUGGACAAUGAAGCUUUUCUUCAGAGCUUCGAGUUCGCACGGGUGAGACACAUUAGCUCGGUUUAG